ACCAGACUUGCCCUCCAAUAGAUCCUCGUUAAAGGAUUUAGAUUGUUCUCAUUCCAAUUACGGGGCCUCAUAAGAGUCCCGUAUUGUUAUUUUUCGUCACUACCUCCCCGUUCUGGGAUUGGGUAAUUUGCGUGCCUGCUGCCUUCCUUGGAUGUGGUAGCCGUUUCUCAGGCUCCCUCUCCGGAAUCGAACCCUGAUUCCCCGUUACCCGUUACAACCAUGGUAGGCGCAUAACCUACCAUCGACAGUUGAUAAGGCAGACACUUGAAAGAUUCAUCGCCGGCACGUAGGCCAUGCGAUUAGCGAAAGUUAUUCAGAGUCACCACUGGAAGGAGCCGCCCGUGAAGGCGGCCCCAUUGGUCUUGUUCUAAUAAAUGCGCUUUUCCCCUCACAGGUCAAAGCUUUUGUGCAUGUAUUAGCUCUAGAAUUACCACAGUUAUCCAUGUAGACAGUCAACAUCUAAGGAACCGUAACUAAUUUAAUGAGCCAUUCGCGGUUUCGCCUUAAUACGGCAUGUACUUAGACAUGCAUGGCUUAAUCUUUGAGACAAGCAUAUGACUACUGGCAGGAUCAACCAGAAGGG
RNAcentral lists this ribosomal RNA (583 nucleotides) under uncultured eukaryote. RNAcentral's name for it is "partial 18S ribosomal RNA". The record is from RNAcentral.